Molecule: long non-coding RNA, 3812 nt
Organism: Oncorhynchus tshawytscha (Chinook salmon)
Lineage: Eukaryota; Metazoa; Chordata; Actinopteri; Salmoniformes; Salmonidae
Source: Ensembl
AAUUGUUUUGGCAAAGUUUACAGGUAAUUUUUGAGAUACUUUGUAGUCACGUUGUUCAAGUUGGAACCGGUAUUUUUCUGGAUCAAAUAAAUGGACAUUUUGGACGGAAUGAAUUUUUUUUAAAGGACCAUUUGUGAUGUUUAUGGGACAUAUUGGAGUGCCAACAAAAGAAGACUACUACUCCCUGUAUCCAGAGGUUUGUAGGCUGAACACCACCACCUCAGACACUGAGACACAGAGUGGCAAGUGAAGUCUUCAGCGAUACUAGACCGUAAUUCUCUAAUGCAAAAGUUCAAACAAUUCAGCAAGGACUGGGACUUCGUCCACGCUACGUCAAGUCCCCACUUCCCACAAUCGAACGGACUAGUGGAGAGAUCUGUUCAGACAGUGGAGAGACUGAUGUACAACGCAAAAGACGGUGGAACUGAAUGGGGGUUUUCCCCAGCACACCUCCUCAUGGGAUGCAGACUGAGGACCAACUGACCCAUCACUGAGAACCUCCUAAAAACAAAAGACAGAGAGAAAGUGAGGAAGUUCAAAGAACAACCGAAAACAAAUCAAAAGUUCUACUAUGACAGAGGGACAAGAAACCUAUCUGAUCUCCAACCUGGUGACAACAUGUGGUACAAAGAUGAAACAAAGGCAUGGGCACAAAAAGGAACAGGUACUGAAGCACAGCUAAGGUCAUACAACAUACGAACAGACUAUGGAGAAAUCGCUGUGAUCUUCUAAUCUAAGGGGUCCAGCAAUAGACAGUUGUGACACUGUUGAAGAGGCUGAAAGCACAGUUCUGGCAGGAGCGCAGCAUGAUGAACAAAUGAUCAGAAGAUCGACACGGCAAGGUGAAAGCAGAGUGUUCAGAAUGGCGGGUCGGUGUGUUCCCUGGCCUGAUCUCUCCAUCACUCAACCUGUCAUCAGCCAUGCCUGCCUGACCUUGUUAGGCCAGCGCUUCUCUCCCGCUCACCCCCCUCACCCCAGCCUCAUCCCCAUUGACUAUGUAGCUCUGAUAUGUCAGGGGGAUGAUGAGUGUGUGUCCCUGUUGAAGUGACUUUGGGAGAGAGCGCGCCAGCGGAGUUUUGUUGUCUGUGACUCUGGUAGUAUGUGUGACAAUAUUUAUAUUGGUCAAGUUCAUGGAAGCCUGCUGUGAUCAGGUUUCCCCCAUACAAGCUAUUAAUGGUCCCCAUGGAAACCCUCUUUUCAACACAAGUAGGGGAUCAAACAAAGUGUCAGGAGUUUCGGUCGUGAUAUUCACUCAUCUUUGUUGCAAUGCCUUUUGAUGUAGCAAUAUAAUUGUCUACUCUAGUUUCUUAAUCCUGCACGGUCCUUCAGGUCCCACAGCACAUUUCUGCUUCAGCCCAUCACCUAAUUCAACUACCCAACCUAACGUAAGCCCUUGAUUAGCAUGAUAAGGUGUGUGUUAGUGCUGGGCACGAUCAAAAUAUGCACCCCUGUGGGUUCCCAGGACCAGGAUUAAGAACCCCAUGAAUACAGAAAUACAGUGGGGGAAAAAAGUAUUUAGUCAGCCACCAAUUGUGCAAGUUCUCCCACUUAAAAAGAUAAGAGAGGCCUGUAAUUUUCAUCAUAGGUACACUUCAUAGGUACACUUCAACUAUGACAGACAAAAUGCAAAUUAUGGUGGAAAAUAAGUUUUUGGUCAAUAACAAAAGUUUAUCUAAAUACUUUGUUAUAUACCCUUUGUUGGCAAUGACAGAGGUCAAACGUUUUCUGUAAGUCUUAACAAGGUUUUCAUACACUGUUGCUGGUAUUUUGGCCCAUUCCUCCAUGCAGAUCUCCUCUAGAGCAGUGAUGUUUUGGGGCUGUUGCUGGGCAACACGGACUUUCAACUCCCUCCAAAGAUUUUCUAUGGGGUUGAGAUCUGGAGACUGGCUAGGCCACUCCAGGACCUUGAAAUGCUUCUUACGAAGCCACUCCUUCGUUGCCCGGGUGGUGUGUUUGGGAUCAUUGUCAUGCUGAAAGACCCAGCCACGUUUCAUCUUCAAUGCCCUUGCUGAUGGAAGGAGGUUUUCACUCAAAAAUCUCACGAUACAUGGCCCCAUUCAUUCUUUCCUUUACACGGAUCAGUCGUCCGGGUCCCUUUGCAGAAAAACAGCCCCAAAGGAUGAUGAUUCCACCCCCAUGCUUCACAGUAGGUAUGGUGUUCUUUGGAUGCAACUCAGCAUUCUUUGUCCUCCAAACACGACGAGUUGAGUUUUUUCCAAAAGGUUCUAUUUUGGUUUCAUCUGACCAUAUGACAUUCUCCCAAUCUUCUUCUGGAUCAUCCAAAUGCUCUCUAGCAAACUUCAGAUGGGCCUGGACAUGUACUGGCUUAAGCAGGGGGACACGUCUGGCACUGCAGGAUUUGAGUCCCUGGCGGCGUAGUGUGUUACUGAUGGUAGGCUUUGUUACUUUGGUCCCAGCUCUCUGCAGGUCAUUCACUAGGCCCCCCGUGUGGUUCUGGGAUUUUUGCUCACCGUUCUUGUGAUCAUUUUGACCCCACGGGGUGAGAUCUUGCAUGGAGCCCCAGAUCGAGGGAGAUUAUCAGUGGUCUUGUAUGUCUUCCAUUUCCUAAUAAUUGCUCCCACAGUUGAUUUCUUCAAACCAAGCUACUUACCUAUUGCAGAUUCAGUCUUCCCAGCCUGGUGCAGGUCUACAAUUUUGUUUCUGGUGUCCUUUGACAGCUAUUUGGUCUUGGCCAUAGUGGAGUUUGGAGUGUGACUGUUUGAGGUUGUGGACAGGUGUCUUUUAUACUGAUAACAAGUUCAAACAGGUGCCAUUAAUACAGGUAACGAGUGGAGGACAGAGGAGCCUCUUAAAAAAGAAGUUACAGGUCUGUGAGAGACAGAAAUCUUGCUUGUUUGUAGGUGACCAAAUACUUAUUUUCCACCAUAAUUUGCAAAUAAAUUCAUUAAAAUUCCUACAAUGUGAUUUUCUGGAUUUUUUUCUUCUCAUUUUGUCUGUCAUAGUUGAAGUGUACCUAUGAUGAAAAUUACAGGCCUCUCUCAUCUUUUUAAUUGGGAGAACUUGCACAAUUGGUGGCUGACUAAAUACUUUUUUGCCCCACUGUAUGUGUGACCUUUAGCUACAAGGAACUCUGGACAGUGAUACAGGCCGUGCAAGCUUUUCAGCCCAACACUAGCAUGCCUCAUUCAAUCUAGACCACGAUAAAUUGGUGUACAGUUAGAUCUGGGCUGAAACAAAAGCCUGCACACACUGCUGCUCUUCCGAAACCCAAAAUUGGCCACUUCUGAGCUGAGACCACACUCACCAACUACACUGUUGUUGUCUGGUGAAUAUAGCAUAUCUAAUAAGUUGAAGUAUCAUACACACUCAUUCAUAGAAUCUACCCUGUAAAGAACUUUAUUAUACAUAUAUUAUUUAUUAAAAUAGAUAUUGAUAACAAAUGUGGACUUUGUGGUUGUGACCCAGAAACUCUUGACCAUUUAUUUUAAGACUGUUUUUAUGUCAGAAGUUUUUGUAGUGAGUUAGAAGAUUUUAUUUGAAAAUAAACAACUAUGAACGUUAAUCUGAGAGACUCUGAUGUUAUGUUUUAUUUUGAUCUAAAUGAUAUGGAUCCUGAUUUAACUUUCAUUGUUCAUGUGUUUAUUUUUCAUGGAAGAUUCUUUAUCCAUAAAAUAAAGUCGGCAGAGACCAAACCCCUCUUCACAUUAUUUAAGAUAGAAUUGAAAUAUCAUUUUGAAAUGAUCAGUAAAUGUAAAAACAAAAAUGCAAAACACACCAUAAAACUUUUAGACAAAUGAAAAAUGUAUUUGAUAUGUAAUACCUCUGUCUGUUAGGUUGAUGUACUCUUGUUU